GGUAUUUUGGCCGAGUUGGUCUAAGGCGCCAGGUUAAGGUCCUGGUCUCUUCGGAGGCCUGGGUUCGAAUCCCAGAGAUAUCA
Molecule: transfer RNA, 83 nt
Organism: Nadsonia fulvescens var. elongata DSM 6958
Lineage: Eukaryota; Fungi; Ascomycota; Dipodascomycetes; Dipodascales
Rfam family: tRNA
About the family: Transfer RNA (tRNA) molecules are approximately 80 nucleotides in length.
Source: Rfam